Molecule: long non-coding RNA, 976 nt
Organism: Oreochromis niloticus (Nile tilapia)
Lineage: Eukaryota; Metazoa; Chordata; Actinopteri; Cichliformes; Cichlidae
Exons: 4
Source: RefSeq, a predicted model, not a curated record
CUGGCUUGAAAACUAAAUGAUGAAACAUCACUGGUUUCUUACCAUAAUGAGCUGAAAGACCAUUGGUAGGAUCCUACUACGUUUGAUCAACCUGAAAAGGAGAAGAAAAAGAGAAAAUACACUUUAGGGUGGAGUUCUGGUACAAUGACUUCUGUCUAGUACCAGUGGAAUUGUGAGAAGAAAAAGAGAAGAAGCGAUGCGAGCAGAUGAAGUAAAAGCAGAUGUGAUGGAUGGCCUCCUAUUAGAGAGGUGACAGGCUCAGAGAUGAGAGGACAGGCCAGGCCAGCACAACAUGAUAAACUGGACCACCUUUAAACUACCAGCCAUUCAUCAGGACAACAGCAUACAAUGAACAGGGUUCAACAGACAACCUAUAAUAGGAAAACACAGACGAGACUACGCUGCACUGCAUCAUCAUCACAUCACACAUUCACUCAACAGCUGUUUUAUUAGAGUUUCUCCUUCCUAGUUCCUCCUCCUAUCCUUUUUCUGGCACCUUUAUCCACUUCCCUUCCUCAAUCUUUCUGCCUCCUCUCUUUUCACCCACACUUUCUAUCCCUGCCAACAGCUGAGAAGAGAAGACAGAUGACCAGAGAAUCAAGACUUACUGACAGCUGCUGUCAAAGCACAUCUAUCAAACACACAUACAUCAUCGUGCACACACAUGUGUACACACACACACACACACACACACACACACGCACACACAAGUGAGUCAUCUCAUGGCUAGACAAGGAAUCAGCAAAUUUCCUGUGCAACAGUAACACAUCAUUACCACUUUUUAUUUGGGUGUCAGAUGACUGCUUUUUUAAGAGAUGUUUUUUAAAUUCCUGCAUAGUGAAUUACUUCCACAUUAUGCAGUAGUGAAUCUCACUUCAACACCAGCAAUAAUUUUGUCUUAGUGUCGUAUAUUUAAAGAGCGUGCGGCGCAUUUUUAAGCAAAGCUUCUCUGGACUAGCUAGUGUGCCAAGGUAUA